CCUACGGGUGGCAGCAGUGAGGAAUAUUGGUCAAUGGGCGGAAGCCUGAACCAGCCAAGUAGCGUGCAGGAUGACGGCCCUACGGGUUGUAAACUGCUUUUAUAUGGGAAUAAAAUGUUCCACGUGUGGGAUUUUGUAUGUACCAUAUGAAUAAGGAUCGGCUAACUCCGUGCCAGCAGCCGCGGUAAUACGGAGGAUCCGAGCGUUAUCCGGAUUUAUUGGGUUUAAAGGGAGCGUAGGUGGAUUGUUAAGUCAGUUGUGAAAGUUUGCGGCUCAACCGUAAAAUUGCAGUUGAAACUGGCAGUCUUGAGUACAGUAGAGGUGGGCGGAAUUCGUGGUGUAGCGGUGAAAUGCUUAGAUAUCACGAAGAACUCCGAUUGCGAAGGCAGCUCACUGGACUGCAACUGACACUGAGGCUCGAAAGUGUGGGUAUCAAACAGGAUUAGAUACCCCAGUAGUC
RNAcentral lists this ribosomal RNA (460 nucleotides) under uncultured bacterium. Its description in RNAcentral is "partial 16S ribosomal RNA". It matches the Rfam family "Bacterial small subunit ribosomal RNA", at positions 338 to 795 of the family's 1533-position model. The record is from RNAcentral.